GACGUAGGGCGCGAGCGUUGUCCGGAUUUAUUGGGCGUAAAGAGCUCGUAGGCGGCUUGUCGCGUCGACUGUGAAAACCCGCGGCUCAACUGCGGGCCUGCAGCCGAUACGGGCAGGCUAGAGUUCGGUAGGGGAGACUGGAAUUCCUGGUGUAGCGGUGAAAUGCGCAGAUAUCAGGAGGAACACCUAUGGCGAAGGCAGCACUCUGGGACGGUACUGACGCUGAGACGCGAAAGCGUGGGGAGCGAACAGG
Molecule: ribosomal RNA, 253 nt
Filed under: uncultured bacterium
Lineage: Bacteria
Description: partial 16S ribosomal RNA
Rfam family: Bacterial small subunit ribosomal RNA
Source: RNAcentral